This 185-nucleotide RNase P RNA is filed under the name Gammaproteobacteria bacterium. RNAcentral's name for it is "partial RNase P RNA component class A". It matches the Rfam family "Bacterial RNase P class A", at positions 1 to 182 of the family's 367-position model. Rfam says of the family: Ribonuclease P (RNase P) is a ubiquitous endoribonuclease, found in archaea, bacteria and eukarya as well as chloroplasts and mitochondria. Its best characterised activity is the generation of mature 5'-ends of tRNAs by cleaving the 5'-leader elements of precursor-tRNAs. Lineage: Bacteria; Pseudomonadati; Pseudomonadota; Gammaproteobacteria. The record is from RNAcentral.
GAAGCUGGCCAGGCAAUCGCUGUAUGAGUUUUAGUGUAUACAGAGGAAAGUCCGGGCUCCGUAGAGCAGAGCGCCAGGUAACGCCUGGAAGGUGAAAGCCUAUGGAAAGUGCAGCAGAAAAGAGACCGCCUACGUACACAGUGUGUGCCGGUAAGGGUGAAAUGGUGCGGUAAGAGCGCACCGCG